CCUACGGGAGGCAGCAGUGGGGGAUAUUGCACAAUGGGGGGAACCCUGAUGCAGCGACGCCGCGUGGGUGAAGAAGCGCCUCGGCGCGUAAAGCCCUGUCAGCAGGGAAGAAAAUGACGGUACCUGAAGAAGAAGCCCCGGCUAACUACGUGCCAGCAGCCGCGGUAAUACGUAGGGGGCAAGCGUUAUCCGGAUUUACUGGGUGGAAAGGGGGCGCAAACGGCGAUGCAAGCCAGGAGUGAAAGCCCGGGGCCCAACCCCGGGACUGCUCUUGGAACUGCGUGGCUGGAGUGCAGGAGGGGCAGGCGGAAUUCCUGGUGUAGCGGUGAAAUGCGUAGAUAGCAGGAGGAACACCGGUGGCGAAGGCGGCCUGCUGGACUGCAACUGACGUUGAGGCCCGAAAGCGUGGGGAGCAAACAGGAUUAGAUACCCUUGUAGUC
This 440-nucleotide ribosomal RNA is filed under the name uncultured bacterium. RNAcentral's name for it is "partial 16S ribosomal RNA". It matches the Rfam family "Bacterial small subunit ribosomal RNA", at positions 338 to 795 of the family's 1533-position model. The record is from RNAcentral.